UACGUAGGGUGCGAGCGUUAAUCGGAAUUACUGGGCGUAAAGCGUGCGCAGGCGGUUUUGCAAGCCGGACGUGAAAUCCCCAGGCUCAACCUGGGAACUGCGUCCGAUACUGGAUGGCUUGAAUUCGGGAGAGGGAUGCAGAAUUCCAGGUGUAGCGGUGAAAUGCGUAGAUAUCUGGAGGAAUACCGGUGGCGAAGGCGGCAUCCUGGACCGACAUUGACGCUGAUGCGCGAAAGCCAGGGGAGCAAACGGG
This 253-nucleotide ribosomal RNA is filed under the name uncultured bacterium. RNAcentral's name for it is "partial 16S ribosomal RNA". It matches the Rfam family "Bacterial small subunit ribosomal RNA", at positions 524 to 776 of the family's 1533-position model. The record is from RNAcentral.